GACGAACGCUGGCGGCGUGCCUAAUACAUGCAAGUAGAACGCUGAAGAGAGGAGCUUACUCUUCUUGGAUGAGUUGCGAACGGGUGAGUAACGCGUAGGUAACCUGCCUUGUAGCGGGGGAUAACUAUUGGAAACGAUAGCUAAUACCGCAUAACAAUGGAUGACACAUGUCAUUUAUUUGAAAGGGGCAAUUGCUCCACUACAAGAUGGACCUGCGUUGUAUUAGCUAGUAGGUGAGGUAAUGGCUCACCUAGGCGACGAUACAUAGCCGACCUGAGAGGGUGAUCGGCCACACUGGGACUGAGACACGGCCCAGACUCCUACGGGAGGCAGCAGUAGGGAAUCUUCGGCAAUAGGGGCAACCCUGACCUAGCAACGCCGCGUGAGUGAAGAAGGUUGUCGGAUCGUAAAGCUCUGUUGUAAGUCAAGAACGGGUGUGAGAGUGGAAAGUUCACACUGUGACGGUAGCUUACCAGAAAGGGACGGCUAACUACGUG
RNAcentral lists this ribosomal RNA (497 nucleotides) under uncultured bacterium. RNAcentral describes it as "partial 16S ribosomal RNA". It matches the Rfam family "Bacterial small subunit ribosomal RNA", at positions 28 to 507 of the family's 1533-position model. The record is from RNAcentral.